GCGCGGCUGGCGGAAUCGGCAGACGCUCGGCGUUGAGGGCGCCGUGUCCGAAGGGACAGGCCGGUUCGACCCCGGCGCCGCGCACCA
RNAcentral lists this transfer RNA (87 nucleotides) under Variovorax paradoxus. RNAcentral describes it as "tRNA-Leu". The record is from RNAcentral. Lineage: Bacteria; Pseudomonadati; Pseudomonadota; Betaproteobacteria; Burkholderiales; Comamonadaceae.